UUGACCUCAAAUCAGGUAGGACUACCCGCUGAACUUAAGCAUAUCAAUAAGCGGAGGAAAAGAAACUAACAAGGAUUCCCCUAGUAACUGCGAGUGAAGAGGGAAAAGCUCAAAUUUAAAAUCUGGCAGCUUCGCUGUCCGAGUUGUAAUUUAGAGAAGUGUUACCCGCGUUGGACCGUGUACAAGUCUCCUGGAACGGAGCGUCAUAGAGGGUGAGAAUCCCGUCUUUGACACGGACUACCAAGGCUUUGUGGUACGCUCUCGAAGAGUCGAGUUGUUUGGGAAUGCAGCUCUAAAUGGGUGGUAAAUUCCAUCUAAAGCUAAAUAUUGGCGAGAGACCGAUAGCAAACAAGUACCGUGAGGGAAAGAUGAAAAGAACUUUGGAAAGAGAGUUAAACAGUACGUGAAAUUGUUGAAAGGGAAACGCUUAAAGUCCAGUCGCGUUGGUUAGGAAUCAGCCUUGGUUUUCCUUGGUGUACUUCCUAAUCGACGGGUCAACAUCAGUUUUGACCGUUGGAUAAAGGUUGAGGGAAUGUGGCACCUUCGGGUGUGUUAUAGCCCUUGAUUGUAUACAGCGGUUGGGACUGAGGAACUCAGCACGCCGAAAGGCCGGGUCUUGUACCACGUUCGUGCUUAGGAUGUUGGCAUAAUGGCUUUAAUCGACCCGUC
Molecule: ribosomal RNA, 669 nt
Filed under: Armillaria sp. MLB-2010
Lineage: Eukaryota; Fungi; Basidiomycota; Agaricomycetes; Agaricales; Physalacriaceae
Description: eukaryotic LSU rRNA
Rfam family: Eukaryotic large subunit ribosomal RNA
Source: RNAcentral